This 85-nucleotide transfer RNA is filed under the name Felis catus (domestic cat). It matches the Rfam family "tRNA". Rfam says of the family: Transfer RNA (tRNA) molecules are approximately 80 nucleotides in length. Their secondary structure includes four short double-helical elements and three loops (D, anti-codon, and T loops). Further hydrogen bonds mediate the characteristic L-shaped molecular structure. tRNAs have two regions of fundamental functional importance: the anti-codon, which is responsible for specific mRNA codon recognition, and the 3' end, to which the tRNAs corresponding amino acid is attached (by aminoacyl-tRNA synthetases). tRNAs cope with the degeneracy of the genetic code in two manners: having more than one tRNA (with a specific anti-codon) for a particular amino acid; and 'wobble' base-pairing, i.e. permitting non-standard base-pairing at the 3rd anti-codon position. Lineage: Eukaryota; Metazoa; Chordata; Mammalia; Carnivora; Felidae. The record is from Rfam by way of RNAcentral.
GCCUGGGUGGCUCAGUCGGUUGAGCACCCGACUUCAGCUCAGGUCAUGAUCUCACAGUUUGUGGGUUCGAGCCCCAUGUCGGGCU